This is a long non-coding RNA of Gorilla gorilla gorilla (western lowland gorilla), 328 nucleotides long. RefSeq lists it as uncharacterized. Lineage: Eukaryota; Metazoa; Chordata; Mammalia; Primates; Hominidae. The record is from RefSeq and is a predicted model, not a curated record. The transcript has 3 exons.
GUCCAGUCCCUGGAAGAUGAAGUUAGUUAGCAUUUGGUGCCCAGCCAGCAGCAAUGUGACUUAGGCUUUUCGUCCUAGUAGGAAUUUGACUCGUUGGGCCUGCAAAAGAUUUUCGUGACAAAUGAAAUAUUUUUCUAAACCAAGGACUUGGGGAUAACUUGAGGGUCAAGGACAUCUUAUCAUAUUUAAGAACAGCCACAGGAUGUCUAGGAGCCAGCAGAGGGGCCAGAUAUGCUGCAGUUUAUGCUGUAAAAGGAAGCCUGCCACCGUGAGUGGUCCAGUGGGAGCUCUUGCUUUGUGUCCUCAGCCUUUCACCUUUCCAUCUGAU